Molecule: ribosomal RNA, 253 nt
Filed under: uncultured bacterium
Lineage: Bacteria
Description: partial 16S ribosomal RNA
Rfam family: Bacterial small subunit ribosomal RNA
Source: RNAcentral
UACGUAGGGGGCUAGCGUUGUCCGGAAUCAUUGGGCGUAAAGAGCGUGUAGGCGGUCCGGUAAGUCCGCUGUGAAAGUCGGGGGCUCAACCCUCGAAUGCCGGUGGAUACUGUCGGGCUAGAGUGCGGAAGAGGCGAGUGGAAUUCCUGGUGUAGCGGUGAAAUGCGCAGAUAUCGGGAGGAACACCAAUUGCGAAGGCAGCUCGCUGGGACGUUACUGACGCUGAGACACGAAAGCGUGGGGAGCAAACAGG